This 253-nucleotide ribosomal RNA is filed under the name uncultured bacterium. RNAcentral's name for it is "partial 16S ribosomal RNA". It matches the Rfam family "Bacterial small subunit ribosomal RNA", at positions 524 to 776 of the family's 1533-position model. The record is from RNAcentral.
UACGUAGGGUCCGAGCGUUGUCCGGAAUUAUUGGGCGUAAAGGGCUCGUAGGCGGUCUGUCGCGUCGGGAGUGAAAACUCAGGGCUCAACCCUGAGCGUGCUUCCGAUACGGGCAGACUAGAGGUAUGCAGGGGAGAACGGAAUUCCUGGUGUAGCGGUGAAAUGCGCAGAUAUCAGGAGGAACACCGGUGGCGAAGGCGGUUCUCUGGGCAUGUCCUGACGCUGAGGAGCGAAAGUGUGGGGAGCGAACAGG